UUGCCCCAUACAGGGGGAUAACAGCCGGAAACGGCUGCUAAACCCGCAUAAGCGCACAAGGGCCGCAUGGCCUGGUGUGAAAAACUCCGGUGGUAUGGGAUGGGCCCGCGUCUGAUUAGCUAGUUGGCGGGGGAGAGGCCCACCAAGGCGACGAUCAGUAGCCGACCUGAGAGGGUGGCCGGCCACAUUGGGACUGAGACACGGCCCAAACUCCUACGGGAGGCAGCAGUGGGGAAUAUUGCACAAUGGGGGAAACCCUGAUGCAGCGACGCCGCGUGAGCGAAGAAGUAUUUCGGUAUGUAAAGCUCUAUCAGCAGGGAAGAAAAAUGACGGUACCUGAGUAAGAAGCACCGGCUAAAUACGUGCCAGCAGCCGCGGUAAUACGUAUGGUGCAAGCGUUAUCCGGAUUUACUGGGUGUAAAGGGAGCGCAGGCGGUGCGGCAAGUCUGAUGUGAAAGCCCGGGGCUCAACCCCGGGACUGCAUUGGAAACUACCGAACUAGAGUGUCGGAGAGGUAAGUGGAAUUCCUAGUGUAGCGGUGAAAUGCGUAGAUAUUAGGAGGAACACCAGUGGCGAAGGCGGCUUACUGGACGAUAACUGACGCUGAGGCUCGAAAGCGUGGGGAGCAAACAGGAUUAGAUACCCUGGUAGUCCACGCCGUAAACGAUGA
RNAcentral lists this ribosomal RNA (670 nucleotides) under uncultured bacterium. Its description in RNAcentral is "bacterial SSU rRNA". It matches the Rfam family "Bacterial small subunit ribosomal RNA", at positions 126 to 812 of the family's 1533-position model. The record is from RNAcentral.